Manihot esculenta (cassava) is the source of this 654-nucleotide long non-coding RNA. RefSeq lists it as uncharacterized. Lineage: Eukaryota; Viridiplantae; Streptophyta; Magnoliopsida; Malpighiales; Euphorbiaceae. The transcript has 3 exons. The record is from RefSeq and is a predicted model, not a curated record.
AUAUGGUAACCAAACAGAGCGUAAAGGAAACACCCCGUAGCAAAACAUUGCUUGUCAGGUUCUACUUUAUAAUAUUAUUAAGUAAAAAAUGGUCCACAUUUUCUUGCAAAACAUGCAACAGAAGCAAAAGCACUAGAGAAGAAAGGGGAAAAGGCAAGAGGAUCUGUUUUUGAGGAGAUGGGGAAGCUGUUUGUGGUGAAUCUUGAAGGGAAGAUCUAUAGCUGCAAGCACUGCAGAACCCAUCUUGCUCUGUAUGAAGAUAUUGUUUCAAAGUAUUGGCUGAAGAAAUCAAGGGUUGAAUAGUAUCAGAACAACUUCCUAAAAGAGCACUGAUCAAAAUUUGAUCUUGUCGAAACCAUAAGGCGAAAGCUGGGUUGGCUGUUUUGUCUUUUUCAGAAAGAAAUUGUGAUGGUGCAACCGGUGAACCAUCAAUAAAAUCAAGUAAAUCAAGACCAAUUAAGGUUGAUUGGAUCUGUUUUCUCCAAACAGGAAAAUUCUCCGGAGUAAGUUUAAUUGGAAAAUGCGUUGGAGCAUUUAAUUGAAUGACGGUAUUGGAUGACGAAGCCAUUAAUUAAAAGAAAAUUGGAUCAGAAAACUCGUGAGAGCAAAUUGCGGCUCUGAUACCAUAUAGAAGAUUUAUGAUAUUGAGAAUUC